This is a long non-coding RNA of Oncorhynchus keta (chum salmon), 2701 nucleotides long. RefSeq lists it as uncharacterized. NCBI's taxonomy places the organism in Eukaryota, Metazoa, Chordata, Actinopteri, Salmoniformes, Salmonidae. The record is from RefSeq and is a predicted model, not a curated record. The transcript is spliced from 2 exons.
UCAAUUCCAUUUAAAUACUCCAAUGGUGUGUAAUGUUAGUGGGCCUACCAGGGUUGGGCUCAAUUCCAUUUAAAUACUCCAAUGGUGUGUAAUGUUAGUGGGCCUACCAGGGUUGGGCUCAAUUCCAUUUAAAUACUCCAAUGGUGUGUAAUGUUAGAGGGCCUACCAGGGUUGGGCUCAAUUCCAUUUAAAUACUCCAAUGGUGUGUAAUGUUAGUGGGCCUACCAGGGUUGGGCUCAAUUCCAUUUAAAUACUCCAAUGGUGUGUAAUGUUAGAGGGCCUACCAGGGUUGGGCUCAAUUCCAUUUAAAUACUCCAAUGGUGUGUAAUGUUAGAGGGCCUACCAGGGUUGGGCUCAAUUCCAUUUAAAUACUCCAAUGGUGUGUAAUGUUAGAGGGCCUACCAGGGUUGGGCUCAAUUCCAUUUAAAUACUCCAAUGGUGUGUAAUGUUAGUGGGCCUACCAGGGUUGGGCUCAAUUCCAUUUAAAUACUCCAAUGGUGUGUAAUGUUAGAGGGCCUACCAGGGUUGGGCUCAAUUCCAUUUAAAUACUCCAAUGGUGUGUAAUGUUAGAGGGCCUACCAGGGUUGGGCUCAAUUCCAUUUAAAUACUCCAAUGGUGUGUAAUGUUAGUGGGCCUACCAGGGUUGGGCUCAAUUCCAUUUAAAUACUCCAAUGGUGUGUAAUGUUAGAGGGCCUACCAGGGUUGGGCUCAAUUCCAUUUAAAUACUCCAAUGGUGUGUAAUGUUAGAGGGCCUACCAGGGUUGGGCUCAAUUCCAUUUAAAUACUCCAAUGGUGUGUAAUGUUAGAGGGCCUACCAGGGUUGGGCUCAAUUCCAUUUAAAUACUCCAAUGGUGUGUAAUGUUAGAGGGCCUACCAGGGUUGGGCUCAAUUCCAUUUAAAUACUCCAAUGGUGUGUAAUGUUAGAGGGCCUACCAGGGUUGGGCUCAAUUCCAUUUAAAUACUCCAAUGGUGUGUAAUGUUAGAGGGCCUACCAGGGUUGGGCUCAAUUCCAUUUAAAUACUCCAAUGGUGUGUAAUGUUAGAGGGCCUACCAGGGUUGGGCUCAAUUCCAUUUAAAUACUCCAAUGGUGUGUAAUGUUAGUGGGCCUACCAGGGUUGGGCUCAAUUCCAUUUAAAUACUCCAAUGGUGUGUAAUGUUAGUGGGCCUACCAGGGUUGGGCUCAAUUCCAUUUAAAUACUCCAAUGGUGUGUAAUGUUAGAGGGCCUACCAGGGUUGGGCUCAAUUCCAUUUAAAUACUCCAAUGGUGUGUAAUGUUAGAGGGCCUACCAGGGUUGGGCUCAAUUCCAUUUAAAUACUCCAAUGGUGUGUAAUGUUAGUGGGCCUACCAGGGUUGGGCUCAAUUCCAUUUAAAUACUCCAAUGGUGUGUAAUGUUAGAGGGCCUACCAGGGUUGGGCUCAAUUCCAUUUCAAUCCCAGUCGAUUCAGGAAGUACACUGAAAUUCCAAUUCUCUUCGAUGCUUUUCAACGAGGAACAUGUGGAAUUGGAACUUGGUUUACGUUCUGAAUUGACGGAAUGGAAUUGACCCCAAGCCUGGAGUCUUGGGCCAUGUCUCGUGGUCAACGUCUUGGUACACCACAGUCCCUUUAGCCACUACUAGUGUACAGACAGAUGGGCUGUCUGUAUAAAUGGGUUUGUUCAUACUGGCUGUACUGAAAAGCACCCACAUCCUACCGUUGCUGUUCCUGUGUGACAUCAUCAUGUUCCAGGUUCCUUCCAGCAGGUUUGGGGUCCAAUUUAUUUUACUAUUCAGUCAAUUCAGAGAGUCGAUUUGAAAUUUGAGUUUUGUUUCCUGGAUGGACAGAACUGAUAGGGAAUUGACCCCCGACCCUGCAAACAAUAGUCCAUUUGUACAGGGGCCCCCUGGUGGUUGUUGUAGAAUGUCUUAGUUCAGUCUGAGUUUUCCUUCCGAACGUCGUUGUGAACAAGGAAAACAGAAAGGGACAGCGUUUACCACACAAUGCUGUCCGACAGCCAUGUUUCAUAGGAGGAGUUUGGGUUCCAAAGUGUUGUCUUCUGUUACCUGUUCUCUCAUUGUAUCAUAUUGUACAAAUCAUUAUUAUUGGGUUCUAACUUGCAUUAUAUUUUUUUCUACCUACAUUUUAAAAGAGUUUGUAAACUAUAGGAAUUGUACAAAAAGUACUUUAAUAGAUAUUGUUUAUUAAAGAAAGGAACUGUUAGUGGAAAAAAAUGAUUAUUUGCCAAACUCCUUUUUUCAAUUCUAGAAUAUGAUGAUUUUCACGGAGUUCUAGAAUGGGUUCCGUUGGUUCCAUUUACGAUGUAAACAUUCCUUAUUUCCUCUGUUUUGGUCUCAGAACACCAGACACUAUAAAGAACUACGCAGUGAAUGAAACAAUUCAUUACUCACUGGGCACAGACGUCAGUUCAACAUCUAUUCCACGUUGGUUCAACGUCAUUUUGUUGAUUCAACCAGUGAACAGGCCAUUGGGUCUUCAUAUUGUAUGGACUUUACAUUGGUGGGAGGGGAGGGGAGGCGAUUUUGAUAUUUGCAUUUUUCUGUUCUGGAAAUGUGUUUACCAGAAUGUUAGUAUUUUUUGACCGGAGGAAAAACCAUAGUGUGUAUUUAGAUGUCUACAACAAUGUUCAUACAAUAUUCCAUCACUGCCAACAACCCCCUGUGUUUUGUAGCAUGGCAAAAUAAUAAUUAAAAAAUGGAACUAA